GGUCUGUUGGGUCUGUUGUGCCUGUUGGGUCUGUUGUGCCUGUUAGGUCUGUUGUGCUGUUGGGUUUGUUGGGUCUGUUGUGCCUCUUGUGCCUGUUGGGUCUGUUGUGCCUGUUGGGUCUGUUGUGCCUGUUGGGUUUGUUGGGUCUGUUGUGCCUGUUGGGUUUGUUGGGUCUGUUGGGUUUAUUCCAGUAUUAACCCCCCCCCCCGUCAUCCUGUGAGCAAGUUGGACCCCCUUCCUUGACUUUUCAUUGAGGGUGUUACACCCCACAGUUGUUUCGGUCCUUGACAACCUAACAUGAAGUAUUAAGUUUUAGGCAAUAGGCAUUGUCAUGAGAUUCUGGAAUAACUAAUUAAGCGUUGGGGUUUGUUGGGCCAACUGAAAACCCAACGCAAAUACGCUCUUCCUAAAUCGCGACAGGUAUAAUAGACUAAAUUUUGAUCUAGGCAAAAGAAGAACAAAUUCCA
Paramuricea clavata is the source of this 467-nucleotide non-coding RNA. NCBI's taxonomy places the organism in Eukaryota, Metazoa, Cnidaria, Anthozoa, Malacalcyonacea, Plexauridae. The record is from the annotation of a GenBank genome assembly.